Molecule: ribosomal RNA, 492 nt
Filed under: uncultured bacterium
Lineage: Bacteria
Description: partial 16S ribosomal RNA
Rfam family: Bacterial small subunit ribosomal RNA
Source: RNAcentral
AGUGAACGCUGGCGGUAGGCCUAACACAUGCAAGUCGAACGGCAGCACAGUAAGAGCUUGCUCUUACGGGUGGCGAGUGGCGGACGGGUGAGGAAUACAUCGGAAUCUACUUUUUCGUGGGGGUUAACGUAGGGAAACUUACGCUAAUACCGCAUACGACCUACGGGGGAAAGCAGGGGAUCUUCGGACCUUGCGCGAUUGAAUGAGCCGAUGUCGGAGUAGCUAGUUGGCGGGGUAAAGGCCCACCAAGGCGACGAUCGGUAGCUGGUCUGAGAGGAGGAUCGGCGACAUGGGAAGUGAGACACGGACAAGAGUCCUACGGGAGGCAGCAGUGGGGAAUAUUGGACAAUGGGGGCAAGCCUGAUCCAGUGAUACCGCGUGGGUGAAGAAGGCGUUGGGGUUGUAAAGACCUUUUGUUGGGAAAGAAAAGCAGCAGGUUGAUACCCCGCUGUUCUGACGGUACCCAAAGAAUAAGCACCGGCUAACUUCGUG